AACCACUAUCGUAAAGUUGUGUAGUUACAGCUACACCUCUCGACCUGUAGUAUGUAGUAAGAACCAUAGUAGACGACGUAACCCUGAUGACGGAACACGCAGAGGACAGAUGGAUGAGAGUCGUAUAGUGAAAGAGUG
Molecule: long non-coding RNA, 138 nt
Organism: Alosa sapidissima (American shad)
Lineage: Eukaryota; Metazoa; Chordata; Actinopteri; Clupeiformes; Clupeidae
Exons: 3
Source: RefSeq, a predicted model, not a curated record